Molecule: unclassified non-coding RNA, 2664 nt
Filed under: Hevea brasiliensis (rubber tree)
Lineage: Eukaryota; Viridiplantae; Streptophyta; Magnoliopsida; Malpighiales; Euphorbiaceae
Source: RNAcentral
UUAAACUUCAAUAACCAGAAAUAAGUCGAUUUAAUCUUAAUCAUCUAUGGUAUUUUUGGCCUUCCGAUGUUUGAUCAAGGCAUGGUGGUACCAAAUUGAAACUUGAGGGAAAAGGAUGAUAUCUCCAAGUAUGAUCGUUUCGGCCGGCCAUUAUUUGGCCAAAAUGCCUUGAACGUGGCAAGAGGUGUGGCGAUAAUUUCCAUUUCUAAUCUGGUGUGGCGAAGGAGUUCAACCUCGUUGAAGUAGGCUAAUUGGCUGCCAGGACGGCCAAAGAAGAUGGUAGCAUCACGAGCUCUCGCCAGUGAGUCUCUUUAUUGUUCUCUCGUCUGCAUCACGAGCUCUCUCCAGUGAGUCUCUUUAUUCUUCUCUCGUCUUUCGCUUGCAUAAUCACUUUCUUACGAUGUCACCUCUAGGACGGGUGAACAAGGGAGAACCCGUAGCAGGCCGAAGGGUUUACACAGCUGGCAGCCAAUUCUUUUCUCUGCAGACCAACAAAUCAAAAGCUACUAAAUCAUCCUCUAAAUAUCUGAUAUUACAAAAUUGCCCUUCCAAUUAACACAGUAAUUUCGACGGUGAAAUUUUCACGGAAAUUAGUAUCAUUAUACUGAUUGAAAUUCAAUCUUUCAUAACUCUUUCAAUCUAUUAAUUUUAUUAAGUUCAACAAAAUAAAUAGCACAUAUAGCAUUCAAUUGGUUUUAAAAAGUUUUUAAAACAAUAAAAAUAACAGAACAGAUCAUAAAUAAAUAAAUAAAUAACUAAAAAUUACCUAACGAAUGAAUAAAUAAAUAAGUGACAUCAUUUUGGGACUGAAAUGCCAAUUUUGCACACACAUGCGACAGCCCAUACGCAUAUAUACGCUCGGAGCUAACCAAACCAAAACCCAAUCAUUUCCACGAAAUGAUAUGAAAGCGCACGCAACAAUCCAUCACCCCGCGCCUUGAAAAAUUUGAAUCCAGAAACAGCGGCUAAGUGUCCUUAACCAUUCAAAACCCAAAAUCCUCUUCUUACCUUAUAUCUUCUCUGCCUCAACUCAACGACCUCUUAAUUCAAAAUCCAGUAAAUGGCUUCUCGCUACAACUCCUACGAUUCAAGAUCCUCAACUACUUCUCAUUUCUCAGACCCAUAUUCCUCCACCGAGUUUAUAUGCAAACCAUCAUCAAGAACUACCUCACGAGCACUUGUGAAAGCUACAUCAUCGGAUCUUUCUCAAACCAAGAUCAAAAGCAAGAGCAAUGAUCACAACUUAUCCGCAAUGGUCAAGAAAUUUAUGGAGAAGAAAUCUGCUGGAAAAGGUUCUACUAAUAAGGGAGUAGCAGCAGGGCUGGUGAUUCCAUCGGAUUUAAUAGUGGACGACUUGAAGAAGACUGCUAGGAAUGGGACCGGCUUUAUUGGGUUGCAGAAGAAAUUGUUCGGGAAGGUGAAAGACAAGGAGAAGAAGACUGUGAAGGCGUUGACAGAGGUGAAAGGUGCUGGUAAUAAUGGCAAUACAAGAACAUUGGCCAUGGUUUUGAGGAGUGAGAGAGAGGUUUUGGGUGCUAAUAAGGAGCAGGAGCUGGAGAUUGCUAAGCUCAAGUUGAUGCUUGAGGCCAAGAACACAGAAGUUGAGAAGUUGAAGGAUUUGUGCUUGAAGCAAAGGGAAGAGAUCAAGUCACUGAAAAGUGCAAUUCUUUUUCCUGAUGUAAUGAAUUCUCAGCUUCAAGAGCUUUUAGAGAAGCAGGGAUCAGAAUUGAAACAAGCAAAACAACUUAUCCCAACUCUCCAAAGGCAGGUCGGUUCUCUUACAGACCAGCUACAGUGCCUCGCCGAAGAUCUUGCUGAGGUAAAAGCUGACAAAUACACUAGGGGCUAUAUGCAACACCCUGGCAACUCACCAAGAACACCAAAUUAUGAUCAUGAAGAAGCAGCUAAUUCUUUAGAAUUCAGUUCUUGGGAUGCUGCAAGCCCAGGCAGUCCAGAUGACAUGUUUCUUAAGGAUGUGAAUCCGUGUUUAACACCCCAUUAUGCAAAGACAAAAUCUAAGGAAUAUGAGGCAAUCGACUAUGAUUCUCCACUUAAUGACAGCUUAUCUAAGAAAAAUAUGCAAAUGUAUGAAUAUGAUGAACAUGGUUUCAACUCAAGUCUCAGUAAGAUGUCUAAAAGUUCAGAUUGCUAUAAGAACAACAAUCACAGAGACAGCAUAAUGGCAAGAGCAGCUCGCAGAUCAGAUGAAAGUAAAUGCACAUAUGUGAAGCAAAUGCACCUAAGACCUUUCUGAUGCAUUUACUGGCUUUGGUGUAGCAUAACUCGUCUGCCACUGGCAUAUCGUUUUUUCGUUACCUUUUUGCCUGUUAUGGAUUACAGAUAUGUUAAAAAAAAUAGACGUCAAACUUAAGGUAGUAGCUCCUAGUUGUACAAGGUUUCAAGCACACAUAUUAUGCUAUUAGUAUGUUUCAAGCACUCGAAUAAGGGAUGAAAAAGCCACGUAAUAAGUCAGAAAAGUCGCUAUGCGCCCUAUAUCAUUGCUAUUAAUCAAAUGCUAUUUCGUAUGAGUUUGCCAAAACACCUCUUUCAUAGUUAUACAGUUUGAAGAGAUGUGUAAGCUUGUGGAGGUGUGAUAAUUGUUUUGCUUUCAUUUAGUUAGCUUUCAAAGUAUACAGCUUGUAGUAUUUUGCGAGAAAUGUAAAG